RNAcentral lists this ribosomal RNA (246 nucleotides) under Rhizobium sp. Its description in RNAcentral is "partial rRNA". It matches the Rfam family "Bacterial small subunit ribosomal RNA", at positions 46 to 320 of the family's 1533-position model. Lineage: Bacteria; Pseudomonadati; Pseudomonadota; Alphaproteobacteria; Hyphomicrobiales; Rhizobiaceae. The record is from RNAcentral.
AGGCUUAACACAUGCAAGUCGAGCGCCCCGCAAGGGGAGCGGCAGACGGGUGAGUAACGCGUGGGAAUCUACCCAUCUCUACGGAAUAACUCAGGGAAACUUGUGCUAAUACCGUAUACGCCCUUCGGGGGAAAGAUUUAUCGGAGAUGGAUGAGCCCGCGUUGGAUUAGCUAGUUGGUGGGGUAAAGGCCUACCAAGGCGACGAUCCAUAGCUGGUCUGAGAGGAUGAUCAGCCACAUUGGGACU